This is a long non-coding RNA of Ruditapes philippinarum (Manila clam), 455 nucleotides long. RefSeq lists it as uncharacterized. The transcript is spliced from 3 exons. The record is from RefSeq and is a predicted model, not a curated record. NCBI's taxonomy places the organism in Eukaryota, Metazoa, Mollusca, Bivalvia, Venerida, Veneridae.
GUUUAAAUUAAGUUCCGUCUUUAAAGUGCCUUUUCCUUUAAAAUGUAAACGAUCCGCGUCAUACAUUCAAUCAAUUCACAUUCUUCAAAGUAGUGCAACGGGAAGGAAUUUAAGAACAGGUGAAGAAGAUAUAUUACUGGAAAUAUAUAUCAUACAAAUCAGGCUCCAUUGAGUUCCUUACAAUCGGAACAACUAGACGACUAUUCUUCCUUUUUCACGGAAAAGAAGGUACACCGGAUAUAACCGUGUUUUGAGUCAAACCUAAGUCGGAGGGAAUUACUGGAGCUUUUGAAAUAUAAAAAACACGUUCACAGAAUGAGCGGCAAUGAAGAAGGUGAUGGAGAGUACAAAGAUGGCCCCAAAGAUACAAUUGAAGUUCGGGGACCAGAGAAUCUAAUAAACCGAUGUAAGUUAGACCUUUUGCAGCUUUACUUUGAGAGUCAAAAGGAUAAGAA